GAUGAACGCUGGCGGCGUGCCUAAUACAUGCAAGUCGAGCGAACAGACGAGGAGCUUGCUCCUCUGACGUUAGCGGCGGACGGGUGAGUAACACGUGGAUAACCUACCUAUAAGACUGGGAUAACUUCGGGAAACCGGAGCUAAUACCGGAUAAUAUAUUGAACCGCAUGGUUCAAUAGUGAAAGACGGUUUUGCUGUCACUUAUAGAUGGAUCCGCGCCGCAUUAGCUAGUUGGUAAGGUAACGGCUUACCAAGGCAACGAUGCGUAGCCGAACUGAGAGGUGGAUCGGCCACACUGGAACUGAGACACGGUCCAGACUCCUACGGGAGGCAGCAGUAGGGAAUCUUCCGCAAUGGGCGAAAGCCUGACGGAGCAACGCCGCGUGAGUGAUGAAGGUCUUCGGAUCGUAAAACUCUGUUAUUAGGGAAGAACAAAUGUGUAAGUAACUAUGCACGUCUUGACGGUACCUAAUCAGAAAGCCACGGCUAACUACGUG
This 497-nucleotide ribosomal RNA is filed under the name uncultured bacterium. Its description in RNAcentral is "partial 16S ribosomal RNA". It matches the Rfam family "Bacterial small subunit ribosomal RNA", at positions 28 to 507 of the family's 1533-position model. The record is from RNAcentral.